CCUACGGGAGGCAGCAGUGAGGAAUAUUGGUCAAUGGCCGCAGGGCUGAACCAGCCAAGUCGCGUGAGGGAUGACGGUCCUAUGGAUUGUAAACCUCUUUUGUCAGGGAGCAAAGGGCGCCACGUGUGGCGCUUUGCGAGUACCUGAAGAAAAAGCAUCGGCUAACUCCGUGCCAGCAGCCGCGGUAAUACGGAGGCGGCGAGCGUUAUCCGGAUUUAUUGGGUUUAAAGGGUGCGCAGGCGGAAUGUCAAGUCAGCGGUAAAAUUUCGGGGCUCAACCCCGUCGUGCCGUUGAAACUGGCGUUCUUGAGUGAGCGAGAAGUAUGCGGAAUGCGUGGUGUAGCGGUGAAAUGCAGAGAUAUCACGCAGAACUCCGAUUGCGAAGGCAGCAUACCGGCGCUCAACUGACGCUCAUGCACGAAAGCGUGGGUAUCGAACAGGAUUAGAUGCCCGUGUAGUC
This 459-nucleotide ribosomal RNA is filed under the name uncultured bacterium. RNAcentral describes it as "partial 16S ribosomal RNA". It matches the Rfam family "Bacterial small subunit ribosomal RNA", at positions 338 to 795 of the family's 1533-position model. The record is from RNAcentral.